Molecule: ribosomal RNA, 271 nt
Filed under: uncultured archaeon
Lineage: Archaea
Description: partial 16S ribosomal RNA
Rfam family: Archaeal small subunit ribosomal RNA
Source: RNAcentral
CAGCGCCACGAGUGGCAACCAUUUUUAUUGGGCCUAAAGCGUUCGUAGCCGGUUUAAUAAAUUUUCUGUGAAACUGUAUGGCUCAACCAGACAACGAGCAGAAAAAACUGUUAGACUAGGGACCGGGAGGAGUCAGAAGUAUUUUUAGGGGAGCGGUAAAAUGCUAUAAUCCUAGAAAGACUACCUGUGGCGAAAGCGUCUGACUAGCACAGAUUCGACGGUGAGGGACGAAAGCCAGGGUAGCAAUCCGGAUUAGAGACCCGAGUAGUCC